ACAUCGCGUCGCCACACCUCGGCUCUCCUCCGCUCUCCCAUCUGACCCCCCUCCUGCCUACCGCCUCCUCUCUCCUCGUCCGCUGUGCUGCGUCGUCUGGCGCCCACCCCCCACUCUCACCCCUGCCGUUGCCUCUCCCGUCUGCCUCGGCGCCGCCCUUCUCAGUCUCUCGCUCUUGUCCCUUCUCGCCCAUGAAGUACAGUAUCCCCCUCGUUCUCUACGUGGUGCUCCAGUUCGUGGCGUUCCUCUUUGUGUUGGUGGGAACUCCGCUAGACGUGUUUCUCGAACGACAUCCUCCUCCCAAUGUCAAGCCCGCUUGCGUAACACUAUGGGGUUUCAAGGAGGUCUGCCAAGCGGUUUUUUAUACAAGCCGACUUUCUGCUUCUUCAGCGUGUCCUUCGCGUUUGCGCCGCUUUCGCGCUGCACAGGUGUUUGUUAUCAUAUCUAUAAUGCUGUACAUGGCCGCGUUCAUCGUAGGCCUUAUUUUGCUGUUCUGUUGCCCUCUGCUCCGCCGUGUCUGCCUGGCGCUCAACGUCGUCGGAACUGUCACUUUGUGCAUCGUGUGGGGAUUGAUUGCGUGGAUGUACAACAUGGAUGAUUCCACACUUUGUCGAAGGUUUAAGGACGGCACCAGGUACGGUGCCGGCUUCGUGCUCUUUGUGCUGGCCUGGAUACUGGAUGUCAUCAACAUUUUCUUGCUGCUCCUUCCCUAUGACGGCGUGGACGCUGGAGCGAAUCGAAGGGCAGAGCUGCCGAUCGCGAAGGAGUAGAAUGGAGGUAGUAGGAGGAGACGGAGGGCGAGCUUGACAGUGGCGCGGCCCCUCCCCCACACCGGCGUCCUCGUGGUGGAGCCGGUGUCGGCGAGGAUGUGGGUGCGCAAGCUGCGGGUUCCCGUGUGUGCCCUUCGCCGGCCCAGCCCUCUCGCUGCCCUGUCCUUCGUGCAUGCGUGUGCGGCACGCCGUGCACCGGGACAGCUGCCGAGGGGUGGUUGCGGCACUUCCUCCAGGAGUGCUGAUGGCACACGGCGCCUGUAUGCGUGUGUGUCUGUGUGCAGGCGCCCCCUGCGACCCUCCUCCCUCUUCUUCCGUGAGCGGCCCCCGCGACCGCGCCCCUCCCUCGCUUACGCUGCCGUUGCUCGCGCGUCUCUGUUUUCGUGCGUUGUUCGCGGGUGCCGCCGCACGCUCUCGCGCUCCUUGACGCUCGUUUCUCUUUCGGGUUCUGCGAUGCUUGCUGUUCUCUCCUCCGCGCAG
This 1250-nucleotide unclassified non-coding RNA is filed under the name Leishmania donovani. RNAcentral's name for it is "gene:unknown". Lineage: Eukaryota; Euglenozoa; Kinetoplastea; Trypanosomatida; Trypanosomatidae. The record is from RNAcentral.